Molecule: ribosomal RNA, 253 nt
Filed under: uncultured bacterium
Lineage: Bacteria
Description: partial 16S ribosomal RNA
Rfam family: Bacterial small subunit ribosomal RNA
Source: RNAcentral
UACAGAGGUCUCAAGCGUUGUUCGGAUUCAUUGGGCGUAAAGGGUGCGUAGGUGGCGAGGUUAGUCAGGUGUGAAAUCUCGGGGCUCAACCCCGAAACUGCACUUGAUACUGCCUUGCUCGAGUACUGGAGAGGAGAUUGGAAUUUACGGUGUGGCAGUGAAAUGCGUAGAUAUCGUAAGGAAGACCAGUGGCGAAGGCGAAUCUCUGGACAGUUACUGACACUGAGGCACGAAGGCCAGGGGAGCAAACGGG